AUUGAACGUUGGCGGCAGGCCUAAUACAUGCAAGUCGAACGAGAAAGGUCCUUCUGGGGCCGAGUAAAGUGGCGGACGGGUGAGUAACGCGUAGGAAUCUACCCAGUUGUGGGGGACAACUCGAGGAAACUCGAGCUAAUACCGCAUAGUCUCCUUUUCUUCGGAAGGGGAGUAAAGAAGGCCUCUAUUUAUAAGCUUUCGCAAUUGGAGGAGCCUGCGUUGGAUUAGUUUGUUGGUGGGGUAAUGGCCUACCAAGACUGCGAUCCAUAGCUGGUCUGAGAGGACGAUCAGCCACACUGGAACUGAGACACGGUCCAGACUCCUACGGGGGGCAGCAGUAGGGAAUCUUGGGCAAUGGGCGAAAGCCUGACCCAGCCAUGCCGCGUGUGUGAAGAAGGCUCUAGGGUUGUAAAGCACUUUCAGUGGUGAAGAUAAGCUGUGGGUUAAUACCCCGCGGUCUAGACGUUAACCACAGAAGAAGAUCCGGCUAACUCCGUGCCAGCAGCCGCGGUAAUACGGAGGGAUCGAACGUUAAUCGGAUUUACUGGGCGUAAAGCGCGCGUAGGCGGUUCGUUAAGUGGGAUGUGAAAGCCUUGGGCUUAACCUGAGAAUUGCAUUCCAUACUGAUGAACUAGAGUGUGAUAGAGGGAGGUAGAAUUUCCUGUGUAGCGGUGAAAUGCGUAGAUAUAGGAAGGAAUACCAGUGGCGAAGGCGGCCUCCUGGAUCAACACCGACGCUCAGGUGCGAAAGCGUGGGGAGCAAACAGGAUUAGAUACCCUGGUAGUCCACGCCGUAAACGAUGACAACUAGCCGUCGGGGCCCUUGAGGCUUUGGUGGCGCAGCUAACGCGAUAAGUUGUCCGCCUGGGGAGUACGGCCGCAAGGCUA
This 887-nucleotide ribosomal RNA is filed under the name uncultured bacterium. Its description in RNAcentral is "bacterial SSU rRNA". It matches the Rfam family "Bacterial small subunit ribosomal RNA", at positions 28 to 896 of the family's 1533-position model. The record is from RNAcentral.